The sequence is a small nucleolar RNA, 113 nucleotides long. It matches the Rfam family "Small nucleolar RNA snR87".
AUGGUUUAAUGAUGAUAUAAUUUGCGAUCUAGUGCCAUUGUGACUCGAAACACGCCUAGUUUCAUUAUGGGCCAGUGGUAGCAUGCGACCAAUUUAUUAAGUCUGAUAUCGAA